AGCAGCCGCGGUAAUACGGAGGAUCCAAGCGUUGUCCGGAUUUACUGGGUUUAAAGGGUGCGUAGGCGGGUUAUUAAGUCAGUGGUGAAAGUUUGCAGCUUAACUGUAAAAGUGCCAUUGAAACUGAUAACCUUGAGUAUAGUUGAGGUGGAUGGAAUGUAUCAUGUAGCGGUGAAAUGCUUAGAUAUGAUACAGAACACCGAUUGCGAAGGCAGUUCACUAAACUAUAACUGACGCUGAGGCACGAAAGCGUGGGGAGCGAACAGG
Molecule: ribosomal RNA, 267 nt
Filed under: Cyclophora tenuis
Lineage: Eukaryota; Bacillariophyta; Fragilariophyceae; Cyclophorales; Cyclophoraceae
Description: partial Bacterial small subunit ribosomal RNA
Rfam family: Bacterial small subunit ribosomal RNA
Source: RNAcentral